CCGUCGGUAGCUCAGUUGGCAGAGCGGUGGACUGUAGAUCCAUAGGUCGCUGGUUCAAUUCCGGCCCGACGGA
RNAcentral lists this transfer RNA (73 nucleotides) under Daphnia pulex (common water flea). RNAcentral's name for it is "tRNA-Tyr". It matches the Rfam family "tRNA". Rfam says of the family: Transfer RNA (tRNA) molecules are approximately 80 nucleotides in length. Their secondary structure includes four short double-helical elements and three loops (D, anti-codon, and T loops). RNAcentral also lists the same sequence under 1 other name. Lineage: Eukaryota; Metazoa; Arthropoda; Branchiopoda; Diplostraca; Daphniidae. The record is from RNAcentral.